AUGAACGCUGGCGGCGUGCCUAAUACCUGCCAGUCGAGCGAACAGACGAGGAGCUUGCUCCUCUGACGUUAGCGGCGGACGGGUGAGUAACACGUGGAUAACCUACCUAUAAGACUGGGAUAACUUCGGGAAACCGGAGCUAAUACCGGAUAAUAUAUUGAACCGCAUGGUUCAAUAGUGAAAGACGGUUUUGCUGUCACUUAUAGAUGGAUCCGCACCGCAUUAGCUAGUUGGUAAGGUAACGGCUUACCAAGGCGACGAUGCGUAGCCGACCUGAGAGGGUGAUCGGCCACACUGGAACUGAGACACGGUCCAGACUCCUACGGGAGGCAGCAGUAGGGAAUCUUCCGCAAUGGGCGAAAGCCUGACGGAGCAACGCCGCGUGAGUGAUGAAGGUCUUCGGAUCGUAAAACUCUGUUAUUAGGGAAGAACAAAUGUGUAAGUAACUAUGCACGUCUUGACGGUACCUAAUCAGAAAGCCACGGCUAACUACGUG
This 496-nucleotide ribosomal RNA is filed under the name uncultured bacterium. Its description in RNAcentral is "partial 16S ribosomal RNA". It matches the Rfam family "Bacterial small subunit ribosomal RNA", at positions 29 to 507 of the family's 1533-position model. The record is from RNAcentral.